GGAAACGGGUGGUAAUGCCGGAUGUUCCAGUUGAUCGCAUGGUCUUCUGGGAAAGCUUUCGCGGUAUGGGAUGGGGUCGCGUCCUAUCAGCUUGACGGCGGGGUAACGGCCCACCGUGGCUUCGACGGGUAGCCGGCCUGAGAGGGCGACCGGCCACAUUGGGACUGAGAUACGGCCCAGACUCCUACGGGAGGCAGCAGUGGGGAAUAUUGCACAAUGGGCGCAAGCCUGAUGCAGCGACGCCGCGUGAGGGAUGGAGGCCUUCGGGUUGUAAACCUCUUUUAUCGGGGAGCAAGCGUGAGUGAGUUUACCCGUUGAAUAAGCACCGGCUAACUACGUGCCAGCAGCCGCGGUAAUACGUAGGGUGCAAGCGUUAUCCGGAAUUAUUGGGCGUAAAGGGCUCGUAGGCGGUUCGUCGCGUCCGGUGUGAAAGUCCAUCGCUUAACGGUGGAUCCGCGCCGGGUACGGGCGGGCUUGAGUGCGGUAGGGGAGACUGGAAUUCCCGGUGUAACGGUGGAAUGUG
This 523-nucleotide ribosomal RNA is filed under the name Bifidobacterium longum subsp. suillum. RNAcentral's name for it is "bacterial SSU rRNA". It matches the Rfam family "Bacterial small subunit ribosomal RNA", at positions 152 to 690 of the family's 1533-position model. Lineage: Bacteria; Bacillati; Actinomycetota; Actinomycetes; Bifidobacteriales; Bifidobacteriaceae. The record is from RNAcentral.